Molecule: ribosomal RNA, 274 nt
Filed under: Lentilactobacillus parabuchneri
Lineage: Bacteria; Bacillati; Bacillota; Bacilli; Lactobacillales; Lactobacillaceae
Description: Lactobacillus parabuchneri partial 23S ribosomal RNA
Rfam family: Bacterial large subunit ribosomal RNA
Source: RNAcentral
UGUACUAGUUGAUGAUGUUUGAGCGAUGGAGGGACGCAGGAGGCUAAGUUGUGCAUCCAGUUGGAAAGGGAUGUUCAAGCAACGAGUCAGUCAAUGAGUUAAAUGCUUAUUGGCGGGUUGACAAGUUGUGAUGAGGACCGAAAUUUAAGUAGGGAAGCAACCAACGUCACACUGCCGAGAAAAGCUUCUAGUGAGUCAUCAACUACCCGUACCGCAAACCGACACAGGUAGUCGAGGAGAGAAUCCUCAGGUGAGCGAGUGAACUCUCGUUAAG